UGGCUCUCGCAUCGAUGAAGAACGCAGCGAAAUGCGAUAAGUAAUGUGAAUUGCAGAAUUCAGUGAAUCAUCGAAUCUUUGAACGCACCUUGCGCUCCUUGGUAUUCCGAGGAGCAUGCCUGUUUGAGUGUCAUUAAAUUCUCAACCUCUCUAGUUUUCUGAACUAGUAGAUGGCUUGGAUGUGGGGGUUUUUUGCAGGCUUUCACAAGUCAGCUCCCCUAAAAUGCAUUAGCCGGUACCUUCUAACCGUCUAUUGGUGUGAUAAUUAUCUACGCCGUGGACUUUGAAGCUGUGCUGCUUACAAUCGUCCUGCAUUGGACAAUUUAUGACAUUUUGACCUCAAAUCAGGUAGGACUACCCGCUGA
Molecule: unclassified non-coding RNA, 365 nt
Filed under: uncultured fungus
Lineage: Eukaryota; Fungi
Description: partial contains 5.8S ribosomal RNA and internal transcribed spacer 2
Rfam family: 5.8S ribosomal RNA (bases 1-133)
Source: RNAcentral